ACCAGUGAUGCACGAGGCACUGUUUUAGGAACCAGGGACACGACAAGGAAUAAGCAGCCGUGGCAUCUGUCUUCUGCGGAGCUCACAGGCAAAUUGCAACUGUGACAAGUACCACAAAGGGGAGGAACAAGGUGCCCAUCAAAGCUGGUGGCAUUUGUGUGACAAGCAGGAAAUACAAUCAACAGGCUUUGGGGAUGGGCUGGGUUUGGCGGACGAUGAGAAGGAGUGUCAAGAGACACUCCCAGGGUUCUGACUAGUAUAAUUGGACAGGCAGUGGUGUUCUUCACCAGGACAUCCUGGAAGAGGCCUGCAGUGGAGAAAGAGGCGACUCACACCCAUGCAGGCCACGGGAGCACAGCUCUGAUGGGCCAAGGGUCCAAGAUCAAGGUGUCAGCAGGGCCACACUCCCUCUGGAGGCUCUAAGAAGAGUCUGCUCCUGCCUCUUCCAGGCCAUCCUGGCUUGUGGCUGCAACUCUCAAGUCGCUGCCUCUGCCUUCACAUGGCCUUCUCCUCUUCCAUCUCUGUGUCUCUCCUCUGCGCGUCUCAUAUAAGGACAUUCAUCCUGGGAUUUACAAUCCGUCCAAGAUAAUGAUCCCAAGAAUCAUUUCAUCUCAAGAUCUUUAACUUGAACCGGGCACAGUGGCUCAUGCCUAUAAUCUCAGCAUUUUGAGAGGCCGAGGCAGGUGGGUCACUUGAGCCCAGGAGUUCAAGACCAGCGUGGGCAACUUAGGGAGACCUCGUCUCUACAAAAAAUACACACAAAAAAUUAACCAGGAGUGGUGGUGUGCAACCCUAGUCCCAGCUACUCGGGAGGCUGAGGCCAGAGGAUCGCUUGAGCCUGGGAGGUUGAGGCUGCAGUGAGCCGUGAUUGUGCCACUGCCUUCCAGCCUGGAUGACACAGUGAGACCCUAUCUCUCUCACACACACACACACACACACACACACACACACACACGAUCCUUAAGACCAGCCUGGGCCACAUAGGGAGCUCCACACAGAGCAGGUGCUCAUUCAAUGUUGUAAAUUACAUUUGUAAAGACACUUUUUCCAAAUAAGGUCACUUACAU
This 1067-nucleotide long non-coding RNA is filed under the name Homo sapiens (human). Its description in RNAcentral is "HSALNT0048562". The record is from RNAcentral. Lineage: Eukaryota; Metazoa; Chordata; Mammalia; Primates; Hominidae.